Long non-coding RNA from Bubalus bubalis (water buffalo), 1852 nucleotides. RefSeq lists it as uncharacterized. The transcript is spliced from 5 exons. The record is from RefSeq and is a predicted model, not a curated record. Lineage: Eukaryota; Metazoa; Chordata; Mammalia; Artiodactyla; Bovidae.
GAACAGAGCGGGCGGAGAAAUGGUCGAGAGGGGCCAGGCUGAGCCUCUGUAGAGGCUGCUUCUGCACAAGAUUGUGGACGUGGAGCCGCAGCUCAGGCAGAGCCGGGAAGCUGCAUGGUGGCCUUGGGUGAGCCCGGGGCUUCUCAGGCUCCAGGUCUCCUCCAAGUUACCUUGGGUUGCACUUUGCAAACAGUUUAUCUUGGAAGUUUAGUAGGAAGGAGACUGCUCAAAACUAUGCAUCCAGGAGACUUCACUGACUCUUAAAAAAGACAACACCCUCCAUUGUUUGCAUCGACGUCUACCCCGGGACGAAGUCAGAUCAUCUGGAACACGUGUAGCUGUACCAAACCUCACAUCCCCAGCCUCACAACUAACUGCAUUUCCCAUUAGGCGCACUCUGCUGUGCCCCACGAUGAACGUAAGAAACAAAGCUCACAGCUGCGCCUGCUGCAGAGACGCCUCUGAGUGCUUUGCCCGUUGCCUUAUCCCUUGUCCUCUUUGUGUGUGCGUGUGUUGGGGGAGAAGCUAAGGAGACAUUUCUUUCUGUUCUCUGGGACAUCAGGAAUGCUGGUGUUUCUCCUAGGCAAGUAGCUUGCUUUAAUCUCAAGGAUCCUGGCAGUUGUGCAGCUGAUCGUGUUUCAUCUUGGCACUGGCUGUUAGAGGUUUUAGAGCCAAAUUUGUGGCCCACCCCUAGCAAAUGGAUCAAAGUUUAUGGGUCAUCAUUAUUCCACAAGGCCAGCCAAACAGAUCAACUGUGAAUGAAGCUCAGCAUGAAUUCCCCAAAGGAUGGAGAGACAAAAAAGAAAAAAAUAAGGACACAAAGUCAGGUGAUGCUAAGGGCUGUGAUGAAGAUAAAGCAGGGCAGGGGGACUAGGGUGCUGAUAUAGCUUGGCCAGAGGUGAUCUGACUGCGAGGGGAUUUUUGAGUUGAGCUCAAGGAAAAGAAAGAGGUAAUCUGGUAUCCAUGGUAGAGGAGCAUCCCAAGCCAAGCACCUGGCUAGUGCAAAGCUUUGUGGCAAGUUGAAGGUAUUGGAGGGACUCAAGUGAGCUGAUGUGCCCAGAGCUGAGCAGUGAGGAGAGUGUCAGGAAACUGAAAGCAGGGCCUUGACCUGGAGCCAUGGUAAAGACUUGAUAAUCUUCUGAGAGGCGAAGACCGGUGGGUCUGGGCAGAAGUGUGACAUGAUCUGAUUUAAGUUGCAGCACAAUCAGCGCGAUGAUCAGGUCAAGGCUGAAGCAGGGUGAGGAGCUAGGAGGUCUGUAGGAGAGCUGUGAACAUUGAACUACAAUAGCAGUGAGAGAAGAGCUGCCUGAGUGCCGUACUCCUGCUGGACCAUCAUGAUGCAGCUCCAGGAUGGCACUUCUCACCUCCAAAAGAUGCACUGAAAUGACCAAUGAGAACAAGAGUUAGGAAAAGUCCAUAAAAACACUGAUAAUCAGAGGAGGCUGCUAUGAAAAGAGAAGGCAUUUAUAGAGAUUUCUGGAAGAAAUGAAGCAGAUAAUUCCAUCUAAAAAUUAACAACAAAGAAAACAGUAUAUCAGGACUUAUGAGGUGAAGCCAAAUCUGUACUCAGAGUAAAAUUCAUUGUCUUAAUUAUUUUAUUAAAAAUAAAAGAUUGGAAGGGACAGUCCGAGAGUUUUGUUUCAAAAAGUAGAAAAGAAACAAUAAAACAUCAAAAAAUAAAAGUAGGAGAAAGAAAUUGGUGCAUUAGAAAGAAAAAAAAAAAGAAAAGAAUUGACAUAAAAAGGCAAAACACAACUCUAUUGAUUUACCUUGUCAGUAAUAUUUUUUGCCUGCCAAACUUGCGCCAGGUACCGCACAAAGCCCAUGCGGAUCCUGAGAUGAACAGAGCAGA